UAUCUUCACACAACCUUUAGGUUUUAUCUUUUAGAAUCACCUUCCCAAUCCUAUCAACGUUUCAGUCCAGUGGCAGGAGCUUCGAAUUAGGUAUGAACGAGCAUUGGCCUUCUCCCAAACCGUAAUUAGGGUUUCAAAUUGUAAGCUCCUUCCCCUCUAGUUUUAAUUGUUUAUAGUUUAUGAUUUUGAUUCCCUAUCUCUAAUUAUUUCUGCUUCGGUUACAGAUUGAUAUACAAAUCAAUUACUAGGUUCUUUCUCUUCCUUACCUUUUUAUUUCUUCUUAGUUCUUCUGUUUUUCCCGUUUUGUUUUUUUAACUGAAAAUUGACAUUAAAACUAGAGCUUGAUAAAUUGGGACUGAAUUAUCUUGGCGACAUCGACAAGCAGUAUACGUUGGAUUAUAUCAACCAGAUAUUACCCACAGGUGUCUUUUACUACUUCUUUACGUGUCAAAGAAGGGUUUUAGGCCAAUUCUUCUGAUGUUCUAAAUCUGUUCCCCUUUUCCUUUUUCCUUUUUCUUCCCAUCUGAAGCUGAUUAGUUAAUUUCUGAAUUUAGACUUAUCCCAAAGAAAUUCUAAAUUUACAACUUUUGGUUGAGAUUGUGGCUUGAAUCGGAGGAAUUUUCUUUGAUUGCUAGUUGUUAAUCUGGCAUAAAUACAUAUGGGACUGCCAAAUGCUUGUCUUUUUAGAGAAUCCCUCCAUGUUAAUAUUGGGCGCCAAUGCAGCUUGCCCACCAGCUUUUCGAUUGAAUGCUUGAAUGAGUGAUCACUGCAACUUCAUGCUGCUCGUUAUUUUUCUAUGAUGGGGUUUCUCCUUUUCAACAAAAAAAAUACAUUUCUUGCCGGUAUAUAUCUAGCUGAAGUGGACUGCAUAAUUAUCAAUCCCCCAAAUUUAUUGUUGUUGCUUAAAGAAGUGUAUGUUCAAUAUAUAGAUAAGGGAUAAUGGAAUUGAGACAAUUAUGUUAGCUUAUUGCAGGUCCAAUUAGGAAUUGUCAAAGUCCCAGAUAGAGGUCUUGGCUUAACGCAACUCUGAAAAAACAUUUUAAAUUACUACUUAGGAACUCAUAAGAAAUAGAAAAAGAUACUAUUAUGUUUACUUCUUAUACUAGGAAUUUGGGGUAUAAAAAAUGAAACCAAUAUUUAACUGUAUUUAAUGGUGUUCUUUUUUCUUUAUUCUAGUAGUUCUAAUAUGUUAUUCUUUUUUUCUUUAUUCUAGUAGAUCUGCAAACGUAGUUUCUUUAAGUGCUUUAUAAAAAAAUGGAUAGCUUUUUUAAGUCCUAGUGAGGGUCAGUCAGCUGCAAUUGUUUUAAAGCAAGGUUAAAUGAGUUGUCUAAGGUAUUGUGACUUGAUCUUUAAUUAGUUGUGUGUUCUGUUAUGUGAUUGUGCUUUGGAUCCCUUCAUUGUUCUUGAUAUCUAAGAGUAAAUGAUAUUUAGUUGAAUCAUAUGACUAAAUAUUUAGGAAGGAUUGAUAUAUUACAGUCUUUAUCAAAUGUAACAUUCAAAGCUUUCUCCUUUGGCAACAUGUAGCUGCAGUAGUGUUAAAAAAGAAAAGAGAAAAUAGCAUGUCAUUUAUUUCUUUUGCUUAUUAAAAAAAAAAAAAAAAAAAAAACAAAGACUCACUGUUUUACAAUAAUUUUAGACAAACAAAGAGGAUGAUAUUUCAUCACCUAAACGUGUAUGCAUGGCUAAAUGUAAGGUGGUUAUGUUAAGCUUAUUAUUCUAAUAAUUUGUAUUGUACGAUGAUUUGCACAAUAGUACUUUGGUCGGUAUUAAUCCUUAAAUGGUAUUAUGUGCAUCUAACUUAGUGUAUUACCCACUUGUACUACGUAAUUAAAUCGAGUUUUGGUAUUUAAUCACGUGGUUGAGGUAUGGUCAGAUGAUUGAUGAUGUUGUCUUAAUUGUCAAAGAGUAAGUGAUCUUUAUUUAGUUGUGUGCUUGCUUCACUUUUGGUAGUGUAUAUUUCACAAUAGAAGAAAUUGAGUAUAUUAUCAAUUGCUCAGGUACAAUUUGCAUAUUUAAGUUGAGGAGAUUUUCAUAUCGAUUACGUGGAGUGCGUACUCUUAUUCAAAUUGCAUCACUCAUUAGGUCCUUUGGAGAUCAAUGUCUACUCUUUCACUUGUGACUGUCGUCUCUGCCAUAUUGCGAUGAUCCUUUCAUUCAGUACGAAGUCAGGCUCAAAACAAGUGUAAGCCUCUUGUGUUAGAAUCUCAAUUUCAAACAAGUCUAGACUUUGGAUUUUUUAUUGCUUGAUAUAUCUUGCUUAAUAAUAUUCGGCUAAAAUAAACUUGUGCUACCUUGCAACCUGGUACUUUCCAACAACUUAUUUGAAGAUAAGCUCAUAGUUAGUAUUUAGUUUAUUAGUUUUUUGAAUGUUAUAAAAUAGUUAUUUCCUUAGUUAUAUUUUAAGUUUCUAAGUUGCAUUAUGUUCAACAAGCUUAAAUUCUUGAUGGAAUUCUCAACAUGAUCACUAAUUCAAGGGUUGAAAGUUGAGGGAAGUCGUACUGGUAAAAUCCUAGCAAGAUGAUGAAGGUGACGAUAUCCUUAACUAUUGAUAUUACUACUGUAAAUUCUUGGAACUCGCAUGCUUGACUUUGGCUAAUUUAGGAGCCAAAUCAUCAAUAACCAAACUUCUAACUUUUGGAUCACGGAUCCAUUAAGGUAUUCACAUAGACACCAAAAUUUGUUUUAUUCCUCUAUUUUGUUACCAUAGAUGGACUCUGUGAUUGUAUUGGUUGGGAUUUUCUAUAUUUUUACCAAGGUUCUAGAUUGAGGAUUUCAGGAUGGUGUUGAUAUUUGCAAGUUUGUGGUUAUAGACUUUUUAUGGGUUCUUUUCUUCAUGAAUCAAAGGAGCAGAGCUUCUAUUUGAUUUUUCUUUGUUUAUUUCUUCUCCUCCAUCAUCACCUUCUUAAUUAUUUUCUUUCAUUCACUAAUUCCAUCGCCAUUGCUAUGAAUCGAAGUCCUUAUUGAUCAAUAUCUAUUUUUGUGGCUUCAUUGUUGGAGCAUAAGUAGCAUAGUCAGAAACAGAUGAAACGUCCACUACUGCUGAUCACCUUCAGAUAGAGCAAGACAUGACAUUUAAUUGGGAAAAAUCUCCUUCAUCUAUGAAGUUGACUAAAUACCAUUAUUUCAUCUUCAUACUUAGAGGAAAGAUAAUCAUAGCUCUAAGAGAGCUACCACAUUCUUGGUGAAACUAGAAAAAAGGUACUGGUAGCUACAGUUAUAGAAAGGCAAAUAGAAAAGUUCCAUUCUCUGUCAUUAAUAAUAAAAUUAAUUCAGUGGUAAACUUUUGCUUACUUAGUUACUAAUGAGAUUUUUUCAUUUUGAUGAAAAGCAAAUGCAACCAUGUUUAGAAAGGCAAAUAGAAAAGCCCCAUUCUCUGGUUGUGCUCUCUUACAUUUCAACAUGUUAAUGUUUCUUCUUUUUCCAUGAUCUCAAGUUCUUUUUCAUAAGGCUUUUGCCUACAAAAAAAUGAUUAGGCUUGUGAUAGUUGAUUGUUCCUUAUUCAUUUGGUGGUAAUUAUAGCCCAGGUAUCCUAAGAUUUGAUUGCUCCCAUCAAUUGGGAAGUGGCAGCCCUCCGAAUUUGGACAAAAAUCUUUUUUCCUUCUUCGGUGUGGUUAAUGCAAUAACUCAGGUUAGUUCUUUUCUCUCUUCUUCUCUUUUUUUAUUUGACAAAGUAAGCAUUUUAAUUGAUAAGCAUCCUGAGGCUUCAUAUCAUGGAGCUAAACAUAAUCAAUAAUUUGCUCUUAUAUUUUAUUUCUAUAUAAUGCUUAUCCCUUUGGAAAAUCUACUUCAAUUAGUUACUACUGUCUCAAGUCGGCUACUCCAUUCAUAAUGACGAGCACCAUGCUGAGACAAUGUAUUUGCUAGAUUGCUCCAAGAUUUUCUGUCAUUUACUUCGACAUUGCGAGUUUCAUAUGAUGAAAAUCCAAGCAAUAAAUGGUUAGAAUUUUUUUCAUUUCUAAACCUGUUUUAUCCAAACUGCAUGGUCCCCAAGUAAGCUUAAAUGUUCCACGUACUGUAAACUAGACAUGAGUUUCCUGGAAGUUUAAUAAUGAAGUUGUGUAACUUCUCUUUCAUUUUCUUUAUGCAGGAGUUGUGUAGCAAUACUCUUGAGUGUGUUAUCAAUAGGUUGAAAAUGGCAGCUCAAAAUUUUCUUUCGCUCGAAACAAGUGGAAGGAGCUCACAAGAUAGGAGAGAGAUGUUAUGAUUAAAUUACAUUGUAUUUUUCAAGAUAAUAACAUUUUUAU
Molecule: long non-coding RNA, 4244 nt
Organism: Lycium ferocissimum
Lineage: Eukaryota; Viridiplantae; Streptophyta; Magnoliopsida; Solanales; Solanaceae
Exons: 2
Source: RefSeq, a predicted model, not a curated record